Molecule: ribosomal RNA, 510 nt
Filed under: uncultured Sphingobacterium sp.
Lineage: Bacteria; Pseudomonadati; Bacteroidota; Sphingobacteriia; Sphingobacteriales; Sphingobacteriaceae
Description: bacterial SSU rRNA
Rfam family: Bacterial small subunit ribosomal RNA
Source: RNAcentral
GAGUUUGAUCUUGGCUCAGGAUGAACGCUAGCGGCAGGCUUAACACAUGCAAGUCGAGGGGUAUAGUAGCAAUACUAGAGACCGGCAAACGGGUGCGGAACACGUACGCAACAUACCCGCUACAGGGGCAUAGCCCGGAGAAAUUCGGAUUAACACCCCAUAGUAUAAUUGGGAGGCAUCUCUUGAUUAUUAAAAUUUAUCGGUAGCGGAUUGGCGUGCGUCCCAUUAGAUAGUUGGCGGGGUAACGGCCCACCAAGUCGACGAUGGGUAGCUGGUGUGAGAGCACGACCAGCCACACGGGCACUGAGACACGGGCCCGACUCCUACGGGAGGCAGCAGUGAGGAAUAUUGGUCAAUGGGCGCAAGCCUGAACCAGCCAUGCCGCGUGGAGGAUGAAGGCCUUCUGGGUUGUAAACUUCUUUUAUAUGGGAAGAAAGUACGGUUUCUACUGUAUCCGACGGUACCAUAUGAAUAAGCACCGGCUAACUCCGUGCCAGCAGCCGCCGUAAC